GACGAAGGGGGCUAGCGUUGUUCGGAAUUACUUGGGCGUAAAGCGCGUGUAGGCGGUUGUUCAAGUCAGGUGUGAAAGCCUUGAGCUCAACUCAAGAAAUGCACUUGAUACUGGAUGACUAGAGGACCGGAGAGGAUAGUGGAAUUCCCAGUGAUAGUGGUGAAAUACGUAGAGAUUGGGAAGAACACCAGUGGCGAAGGCGGCUAUCUGGACGGUUUCUGACGCUAAGACGCGAAAGCGUGGGAGCAACAGG
RNAcentral lists this ribosomal RNA (253 nucleotides) under uncultured bacterium. Its description in RNAcentral is "partial 16S ribosomal RNA". It matches the Rfam family "Bacterial small subunit ribosomal RNA", at positions 524 to 776 of the family's 1533-position model. The record is from RNAcentral.